CCGGUUGGUGGUGAUUAUUGACUUGGUAACUUUUACUAGAUUUUUACUUGUAGGAGCAAAGUUUACUCCUGCAAGAUUUACCCUAAUUGUUGAAUCAACUGAAUGUCUAGCACUAGAUGUUGACCCAAUACUACUAGAUUGAUGAUAGCGAUAGGAUUGGCUUCUAUUCAUCCUGAUCCUGACGUAUCCAUCAAUAUCUUGAAUAACAUCUCUAAUAGUUCUGGCCUCAAUCUUUUCAGAUUUAACCACAUCUUGUAAUAUCCAUUCUUGAGGGAAUUUUUCUAUAAUAUCCGAAGCAGUCAGUAUUUUUGGGGUCAUAACAUUGGACCUGCUAAGAUUUGCUUC
This 345-nucleotide long non-coding RNA is filed under the name Lathyrus oleraceus (garden pea). RNAcentral's name for it is "Pisum sativum (pea) long non-coding RNA (PSAT_LNC027539)". The record is from RNAcentral. Lineage: Eukaryota; Viridiplantae; Streptophyta; Magnoliopsida; Fabales; Fabaceae.